This 814-nucleotide ribosomal RNA is filed under the name uncultured bacterium. RNAcentral's name for it is "bacterial SSU rRNA". It matches the Rfam family "Bacterial small subunit ribosomal RNA", at positions 524 to 1357 of the family's 1533-position model. The record is from RNAcentral.
AAAGAGGGAUGCAAGCGUUAUCCGGAAUUAUUGGGGCCCUAAGAGAUUGUAGGCGGGCGAGUGUGUUUAAUGUUAAAUCUUAAAGCUCAACUUUGAAAUUGCGUUAAAAACUGCUUGUCUUGAGUAUGGUAGGGGUAAAGGGAAUUCCCAGAGUAGCGGAGAAAUGCGUAGAUAUUGGGAAGAACACUAAACAGCGAAGGCACUUUACUAGGCUAAUACUGACGCUGAAAAACGAAAGGUAAGGUAGCGAAACGGAUUAGAUACCCGUGUAGUCUUACCCGUAAACUAUGGACACUAAACGGUAAAUUUUUAAUUUACUGUUAAAGCUAACGCGUUAAGUGUCCCGCCUGGGGAGAAUGCUUGCAAAAGAGAAACUCAAAGGAAUUGACGGGGGCCCGCACAAGCGGUGGAGCAUGUGGUUUAAUUCGACGGUACACGAAGAACCUUACCAGGAUUUGACAUGCUGGAUAGUUGCUUGAAAGAGUAACGUGCCGUAAGGAAUCUAGACACAGGUGGUGCAUGGCUGUCGUCAGUUCGUGUUGUGAAAUGUUGGGAUAAGUCCCGCAACGAACGCAACCCUUGUCUUUAGUUAUUUUCUAAAGAGACUGCCUGUAAUAAACAGGAGGAAGGUAAGGAUGAGGUCAAGUCAUCAUGCCCCUUAUGUCCUGGGCUACACACGUGCUACAAUGGGAAAGACAAUGAGCUGCAAAUCUGUAAAUUUAAGCAAAUCUCUUAAACUUUCUCGUAGUUCGGAUUGUGGGCUGCAACUCGCCCACAUGAAGUUGGAAUCGAUAGUAAUCGCCAGUCAAGCUAU